This is a long non-coding RNA of Oncorhynchus tshawytscha (Chinook salmon), 1037 nucleotides long. Lineage: Eukaryota; Metazoa; Chordata; Actinopteri; Salmoniformes; Salmonidae. The record is from Ensembl.
ACAUAGCUCAGCCAGUAGACUACCAAACCACAUAGCUCAGCCAGUAGACUACCAAACCACAUAGCUCAGCCAGUAGACUACCAAACCACCUAGCUCAGCCAGUAGACUACCAAACCACAUUACAAUUGCAGCAAAUGCAUUUCCAUCCAUAUCCUGAAGCUAAUUGACAAAAGUUGUGUUUCCCACAGGGAGGUCUGUACUUACUGUACUGGAGAGAGUCCACCACAGAAUGGCCUGUAUAUGUGAUGAGCUCUAUUGGGAAUGAUUGGCCUCCUGUUUCUGUGGAUGACACAAGGGCAGGUGUAACACUUGACCAACAUGACAUUGAUGUGACAUUCAGUUCUGGUUGAUGUAGGACAGAUUCAGUACUGGUUGCUAUAGGACAGGUUAGGUACUGGAAGCUGUAGGACAGGUUCAGUACUGGUUGCUAGAGGACAGGUUAGGUACUGGAAGCUGUAGGACAGGUUCAGUACUGGUUGCUAUAGGACAGGUUAGGUACUGGAAGCUGUAGGACAGGUUCAGUACUGGUUGCUAUAGGACAGGUUAGGUACUGGAAGCUGUAGGACAGGUUAGGUACUGGAAGCUGUAGGACAGGUUCAGUACUGGUUGCUAUAGGACAGGUUAGGUACUGGAAGCUGUAGGACAGGUUCAGUGCUGGUUGCUAGAGGACAGGUAAAAUACUGUUUGUGUUGCUUGUUGUUUGUCUGUUAACAUGACUCUGAGCAUACAGAAGGAUCAGUGGAAAGUGUAUACCAUGGGACAGAUACACGGUAUUGCAUUGAAAGGAUCCAGGUAUGUCCUUACAGCAUGUGUUUUGGUCGAUGGCUUUGAUUCUGUUGUAUAAUGUUCACUGAACUGUUUUCUGUUCUUAGAUGGAAAACCACUCCAUAGAACCUCAUACCCAGAAAAUCAAUAUCCUCAUACUACAUUCAUACUGUUGCUAAGUCAUAUUCCAGAAAUAUUUAAUUAAAGGAUGUUUUUUUUAUUUUUUAUUGUUUUGUAAAAUAAACUUUAUAUAAAUGUGGAAUUCUUUCCAA